This is a non-coding RNA of Mycena galericulata, 92 nucleotides long. The record is from the annotation of a GenBank genome assembly. Lineage: Eukaryota; Fungi; Basidiomycota; Agaricomycetes; Agaricales; Mycenaceae.
GCCCCAGUAGAUCAAUGCAGAUCAUCCCUCUCCAGUUACUGGUUUUGUAUAAAUGGAAAGGGAAACUGGAGGUUUGAAUCCUCCCUGGGGCA